CCUACGGGGGGCUGCAGUGGGGAAUUUUGGACAAUGGGGGCAACCCUGAUCCAGCCAUUCCGCGUGAGUGAAGAAGGCCUUCGGGUUGUAAAGCUCUUUUGUCCGGAGCGAAACGGGCGGCCCUAAUACGGUCGUCUACUGACGGUACCGGAAGAAUAAGCCCCGGCUAACUACGUGCCAGCAGCCGCGGUAAUACUUAGGGUGUGAGUGUUAAUCGGAAUUGCGCGGCGUAAAUCGUGCGCAGGAUGUUAAAUCCCCGGGCUCAACCUGGGAAUGGCAUUUGGGACUGCAAGGCUGGAGUGUGGCAGAGGGGACUAGAAUUCCUGGUGUAGCAGUGAAAUGCGUAGAUAUCAGGAGGAAUACCGAUGGCGAAGGCAGGUCCCUGGGUUAACACUGACGCUCAUGCACGAAAGCGUGGGGAGCAAACAGGAUUAGAUACCCCAGUAGUC
Molecule: ribosomal RNA, 449 nt
Filed under: uncultured bacterium
Lineage: Bacteria
Description: partial 16S ribosomal RNA
Rfam family: Bacterial small subunit ribosomal RNA
Source: RNAcentral